GAGCCUGUGGCUCAAAACGGUAGGGCGCUGGCCUCAUAUGCCAGAGGUGGCAGGUUCAAACCCAGCCCCGGCCA
RNAcentral lists this transfer RNA (74 nucleotides) under Otolemur garnettii (small-eared galago). It matches the Rfam family "tRNA". Rfam says of the family: Transfer RNA (tRNA) molecules are approximately 80 nucleotides in length. Their secondary structure includes four short double-helical elements and three loops (D, anti-codon, and T loops). Lineage: Eukaryota; Metazoa; Chordata; Mammalia; Primates; Galagidae. The record is from Rfam by way of RNAcentral.